RNAcentral lists this ribosomal RNA (491 nucleotides) under uncultured bacterium. Its description in RNAcentral is "partial 16S ribosomal RNA". It matches the Rfam family "Bacterial small subunit ribosomal RNA", at positions 29 to 507 of the family's 1533-position model. The record is from RNAcentral.
GUGAACGCUGGCGGUAGGCCUAACACAUGCAAGUCGCACGGCAGCACAGUAAGAGCUUGCUCUUACGGGUGGCGAGUGGCGGACGGGUGAGGAAUACAUCGGAAUCUACUUUUUCGUGGGGGAUAACGUAGGGAAACUUACGCUAAUACCGCAUACGACCUACGGGUGAAAGCAGGGGAUCUUCGGACCUUGCGCGAUUGAAUGAGCCGAUGUCGGAUUAGCUAGUUGGCGGGGUAAAGGCCCACCAAGGCGACGAUCCGUAGCUGGUCUGAGAGGAUGAUCAGCCACACUGGAACUGAGACACGGUCCAGACUCCUACGGGAGGCAGCAGUGGAGAAUAUUGGACAAUGGGCGCAAGCCUGAUCCAGCCAUACCGCGUGGGUGAAGAAGGCCUUCGGGUUGUAAAGCCCUUUUGUUGGGAAAGAAAAGCAGCAGGUUAAUACCCCGCUGUUCUGACGGUACCCAAAGAAUAAGCACCGGCUAACUUCGUG